RNAcentral lists this ribosomal RNA (487 nucleotides) under Chaetoceros sp. RCC5505. RNAcentral describes it as "SSU rRNA". It matches the Rfam family "Eukaryotic small subunit ribosomal RNA", at positions 627 to 1120 of the family's 1831-position model. Lineage: Eukaryota; Bacillariophyta; Thalassiosirophyceae; Chaetocerotales; Chaetocerotaceae. The record is from RNAcentral.
CUCGUAGUCGCAUUUCUGGCGAGAGGAAUUGGUCCGACAUUUAUUGUGGGUACUCGAUUCUCUCUCGCCAUCCUUGAGUGGUCCGUUCUGGCAUUUAGUUGUCGGAGCGUCAGCCGCUCAUCGUUUACUGUGAGAAAAUUAGAGUGUUCAAAGCAGGCUUAUGCCGUUGAAUAUAUUAGCAUGGAAUAAUAAGAUAGGACCUCGGUGCUAUUUUGUUGGUUUGCGCACAGAGGUAAUGAUGAACAGGGACAGUUGGGGGUAUUUGUAUUUCGUUGUCAGAGGUGAAAUUCUUAGAUUUACGAAAGACAAACUACUGCGAAAGCAUUUACCAAGGAUGUUUUCAUUGAUCAAGAACGAAAGUAUGGGGAUCGAAGAUGAUUAGAUACCAUCGUAGUCUAUACCAUAAACUAUGCCGACUCAGGAUGGGCGGGUGUUGUAUGACCUCGUCUGCACUGUAUGAGAAAUCAAAGUCUUUGGGUUCCGGGGG